RNAcentral lists this ribosomal RNA (578 nucleotides) under Cadophora sp. BESC103j. RNAcentral describes it as "eukaryotic LSU rRNA". It matches the Rfam family "Eukaryotic large subunit ribosomal RNA", at positions 1 to 584 of the family's 3401-position model. Lineage: Eukaryota; Fungi; Ascomycota; Leotiomycetes; Helotiales; Ploettnerulaceae. The record is from RNAcentral.
ACCUCGGAUCAGGUAGGGAUACCCGCUGAACUUAAGCAUAUCAAUAAGCGGAGGAAAAGAAACCAACAGGGAUUACCUCAGUAACGGCGAGUGAAGCGGUAACAGCUCAAAUUUGAAAGCUAGCUCUUUUAGGGUUCGCAUUGUAAUUUGUAGAAGAUGCUUCGGGUGUGGCCCCGGUCUAAGUUCCUUGGAACAGGACGUCAUAGAGGGUGAGAAUCCCGUAUGUGACUGGGUGCUUUCGCUCAUGUGAAGCUCUUUCGACGAGUCGAGUUGUUUGGGAAUGCAGCUCAAAAUGGGUGGUAAAUUUCAUCUAAAGCUAAAUAUUGGCCAGAGACCGAUAGCGCACAAGUAGAGUGAUCGAAAGAUGAAAAGCACUUUGGAAAGAGAGUUAAACAGUACGUGAAAUUGUUGAAAGGGAAGCGCUUGCAACCAGACUUGCGCGCUGAUGAUCAUCCGGGCUUCUGCCCGGUGCACUCGUCUGCGCUCAGGCCAGCAUCGGUUUCGGUGGUGGGAUAAAGGCCUUGGGAAUGUAGCUCCUCUCGGGGAGUGUUAUAGCCCUCGGUGCAAUGCCGCCUANC